Molecule: ribosomal RNA, 306 nt
Filed under: uncultured Peredibacter sp.
Lineage: Bacteria; Pseudomonadati; Bdellovibrionota; Bacteriovoracia; Bacteriovoracales; Bacteriovoracaceae
Description: bacterial SSU rRNA
Rfam family: Bacterial small subunit ribosomal RNA
Source: RNAcentral
GAGAGGUGCUGCAUGGCUGUCGUCAGCUCGUGUUGUGAAAUGUUGGGUUAAGUCUCGCAACGAGCGCAACCCCUAUCGUCUGUUGCCAGCAUUAAGUUGGGCACUCUGACGAGACUGCCUGGGUUAACCAGGAGGAAGGUGGGGAUGACGUCAAGUCCUCAUGGCCCUUAUGUCUAGGGCUACACACGUAAUACAAUGGCGCGUACAAAGGGAAGCGAACCUGCGAAGGGGUGCAAAUCUCAGAAAGCGCGUCUCAGUCCGGAUUGGAGUCUGCAACUCGACUCCAUGAAGUUGGAAUCGCUAGUA